This 74-nucleotide transfer RNA is filed under the name Endomicrobium sp. RNAcentral describes it as "tRNA-Pro". It matches the Rfam family "tRNA". From Rfam's summary of the family: Transfer RNA (tRNA) molecules are approximately 80 nucleotides in length. The record is from RNAcentral. Lineage: Bacteria; Pseudomonadati; Elusimicrobiota; Endomicrobiia; Endomicrobiales; Endomicrobiaceae.
CGGGGUGUGGCUCAGAUGGCUAGAGCACUCGGUUCGGGACCGUGAGAUCGCUGGUUCAAAUCCAGUCGCCCCGA